Molecule: ribosomal RNA, 253 nt
Filed under: uncultured bacterium
Lineage: Bacteria
Description: partial 16S ribosomal RNA
Rfam family: Bacterial small subunit ribosomal RNA
Source: RNAcentral
UACGGAGGGGGCUAGCGUUGUUCGGAAUUACUGGGCGUAAAGCGCACGUAGGCGGCUUUGUAAGUCAGAGGUGAAAGCCUGGAGCUCAACUCCAGAACUGCCUUUGAGACUGCAUCGCUUGAACACGGGAGAGGUGAGUGGAAUUCCGAGUGUAGAGGUGAAAUUCGUAGAUAUUCGGAAGAACACCAGUGGCGAAGGCGGCUCACUGGACCGUUGUUGACGCUGAGGUGCGAAAGCGUGGGGAGCAAACAGG